This 253-nucleotide ribosomal RNA is filed under the name uncultured bacterium. Its description in RNAcentral is "partial 16S ribosomal RNA". It matches the Rfam family "Bacterial small subunit ribosomal RNA", at positions 524 to 776 of the family's 1533-position model. The record is from RNAcentral.
UACGGAGGGGGCAAGCGUUGUUCGGAGUGACUGGGCGUAAAGCGCACGUAGGCGGUAAUGUAAGUCUCAGGUUAAAGACCACAGCUCAACUGCGGGAGAGCCUGGGAAACUAUGUUUCUAGAGUACCAAAGAGGAAUGCGGAAUAUAUGGUGUAGCGGUGGAAUGCGUUGAUAUCAUAUGGAACACCUGUUGCGAAGGCGGCAUUCUGGUUGGUAACUGACGCUGAGGUGCGAAAGCGUGGGGAGCAAACAGG